This is a long non-coding RNA of Hydra vulgaris (swiftwater hydra), 1694 nucleotides long. RefSeq lists it as uncharacterized. The record is from RefSeq and is a predicted model, not a curated record. Lineage: Eukaryota; Metazoa; Cnidaria; Hydrozoa; Anthoathecata; Hydridae.
GGCGUAAUUUAUGGAUGACCCCUUAUCCGUAUGUAAGAAAGAAAGGUAUCCAUAGUAACUAAAUAAAAAUAACUAUCACUUUCAUAAGAAGCGCAACCUCAUAUUGGUAAAUGCAAAAUAAGGUACCCAAGCAGCAUAAAACAGAAAAUAGCACCUUCAUAAGAAGAAUAUUAGUACUCAUGCCAAUUUACAACUGUUCGUUACAGAAAGUAGAACAAUGUUUUAGAAAUAUGCUUUACAGAAGAUGGUUCUUUUUGUUGAUGUCAUGGUAUGUAUGGGCUAUUUACAGAAUUGUCUCAGACGUAUGUGGCAUCUGGCUGGUGUUUCUUCAUUCAUUCAUCACAGAAAAGCCCAAAAGCAAUACUUUUGCAUAAUGGAAAUCUUAAGCCAUUCAUCUCUAUUGAAUUUUCUGUUUAUCUUAAACAGACAUUUGAUAUUAUGAAUAUAAAAAUUAUAACAAAUAAGAGAGUCAUCAAUAGAACAUCUGCUGAAAUAUUAAAGUUUUAAGUUAUUGUAAUGGGUACGCAUGGAUUUACAAAAAAUAUUGUUGUUUUUUUUGCCUGUGGGAAACAUGGAUUUACAAAAAAUAUUGUUGUUUUUUUUGCCUGUGGGAAAGUUGUGCCAAAAUAAAACAACACAACAAAUGCGACUGGGCACUAAAGUCUAAAUAUGUUCCAGAAACAAGCAGUGCUUAAUCUUUUUAGCUUAUUCUCAAAAGAUCUUCUUACCACCAUUCCAUACUAAACAUAAGCAAAGUCAAUUCACUUGUGUUCCAAAACCUUUCUGAAAAAUUAGAAAUGUAUUGAAACGAGAAAAUGUGGAAGAAAAAGUCCGAUGCAUAUAAGGAUAAAGUUAAAAAACUCAUCAACUGUUAUUAAGAAAUGAAUUGUUAAAUAUCUUUGAAAAUGUACUUCCCGCUUUUUGAUUUAGAUUUCUUUCGUGAAAACCUUGGUGUAGUGAGUGACAAGCAAGACGCUUUAAUCAAGACAAAAAAGUUGUGGAAUUACGCUACCAAGGAUUUGGGAACGAAUACACGAUGGGUUGUUGUUUUUUGAUAUUCCAUCGUGAAAUUCUAGACCAAACGUUUAAAAAAAAAAAGUAUACUCUCAACGCUCUGAAGGUUUUGUAUUGCGUAUACUUUUAUUUUACAAGUGUGUUCAAUAUUAUCUUUAAUGUAAAUGAGUUGCUUGCAGAAGGUGAAUGAAAGAAAGCACAAUUAAUGUUAUUAUGAAAAAAUAAUAGCGAUCUCAUCGUCUGAAACAAAUUCAUCAUUUGUAAUGUCUUGUAGACCAAUAAAAAAAAUAUUCUUUUGAUAUUAUAGUUACAAUGCACACUAAUUUAUCUUUACUGUUCGUGCUCAGACCUCCACAAACAUACGUCACUACUCACAUUCAACCUAAGAUUUAAUUCUGGAGAAACUGCUGAAUUACAAAAUAAAUAUAAAUUUUUGAAGUUCUUACCAAUAUUAGAACCAUAUCCACCAAAACAACCAAACGUGCCAUUAUCUAACGAAUAAAACGUUUCUCCUGUAUGGCAAGAACACAAUCUAGUUUUACCGUCCCAUAUCGCUAACGGAGCAUAGUAAGAACAUGUUGCAUGAUCAGGUAACUUCAAUGCAUCUCCUAACCAACUUCGCUCAAUGGUAUCGUAACAAAACACAAAACAAAUCCAGUUUAGAGUUAAAAGAUUGAAAA